Molecule: long non-coding RNA, 1206 nt
Organism: Mauremys mutica (yellowpond turtle)
Lineage: Eukaryota; Metazoa; Chordata; Testudines; Geoemydidae
Exons: 3
Source: RefSeq, a predicted model, not a curated record
GCUGCUUCAUUGCCAAGAAUGACCAGCCUGGGCCUCCAGACUAUAUAUGCUAAUGUCACUUAUUUGUGAAGGUCUCUUGCUCAUUAUUAGCUUCUAAGGAGUUCCUCCUGAUGACUCUGAACGUCUGGCUGAAUAUGAAGUUUCUGGGCCACCAGUAAGAUGCUUCUCCCAGACGCGAGGAGAGAUUUGGCAGCAGGCAGCAUCUUCCCAGCCAGCAGCUCAUCGUUGGACUCAUGAGCCACCCUGGCAGAAGGAUGCUGAUCUCAGGUGGUCAACCAACCAUGAAGGUAUCUCUGUGGCUAGUAAAGGAGGGGCUGGAAAUGACAGCUGCACUGCAGGCGAGGAGUUACAAACCAGAGACAUCUUCCAGAAAAGCAACAGACUAGAGUUAAGCAACACUACAGACACAGACAAAAAUUAAAAACUAGAACGCCUAUAUCCCAGUGUGUGAGGCACUUCAAAUCAAAACGAAGGGAACCAGAAUGCCUGGAACAAAUGGUUAAAUUAAAAAGCAACAAGAGAAAUGUGGUCUACAGGUGUCCGUGCCUGCUCCACCUGUAACACUCGUACAUACAUACACACAGAUGGAAAUUCAUUUUGCCCUCUUUAAAACUCAGUGUUACCUUCUUGCAACAUAAGCAAGUUCUUCAGUAGCUUUGGCUAAUUCUUCGGCAGCUUUUUCUAAAUCAGCUAGGCGCUCGUUAUUCAACCCAUCCCACUCGGCUGCUAUCAUUAAAUGACAAAGUUGAGCUGCCAUGGGUGAAAUAAUUCUCUCAAUGGUUUUGUUGGAGGUUACAGCCCUGAUGUCAUACAGAUAAAAAGGCUCCAUUGCUUCUCGGCUACAAACAGAAGACACGCAAUUAAAGAUUCAUCUCCACAAUACAGUAAUAUUAAUUAACAACAGAAUGCACUAACUCUGCACCUUCCAGCCAAACAUCUCAAAGAACCUUGGGAAUAUUAAUGAAUUUAGUCUCACAACGCCCUUGCAUUAUCCCCAAUUUUGCUGCAAGCUGUUUCUACAAUCAGAGGAUGGGGUGUGCACCCCGCACUGGCUCUGGUGGAGUUAAUACAGGCAAAAGAGGCCAGUUAGCCAUAAGCUGUACCUGGAGGAGAAUGAGGAGGCCGAGAGACUGAACUGGGGAUGAAGCUCACCUGGGCAGGGGCAGGGGCAGGGGUGGUGUCUAUAAAGCUGGGAGCUGGCACCAG